This 73-nucleotide transfer RNA is filed under the name Hyphomicrobiales bacterium. Its description in RNAcentral is "tRNA-Arg". The record is from RNAcentral. Lineage: Bacteria; Pseudomonadati; Pseudomonadota; Alphaproteobacteria; Hyphomicrobiales.
GUCAUCGCUGAAAAAUUUGAUCUGCAGAUUCCUAAUCUGAGGGUCGCAGGUUCGAGUCCUGCCGGGGUCACCA